UUGUCUUUUUCUUAGUGAUUUGUGCAGAUUCACUGUAAGUUCUGGACACUUCUUGUAUGGUUAAUCACUGAGCUUGCUCUGGAUCUGUGAGAACAGCCACUCCCAAGGGUGGGCCAUAAACCCUGAGGCAACUCAGGAAAGAAACAAGAAGACUGUCCCCCAGCUGAGAUGCACAUCAAAGGAGUGAUUCCAGAAAGCCCAGACCUUCACAUCUUUCCAAGGAAACUGGUGUCCUGCCUCCAGAGGUCCUGACUCUACUGCGUUUCCGUUGUUCCUUGAGUGGUCCAGCUACCUUAUCCGACAACGAACCUCCUGGCUACUCUGCACGGUGGCCUUAGGCUGGCACAUCACUGAUCUCUGGGUGUGGCUCUCCUUGUACCUGUGUGAGCUGGUGGGAAUGAGCUGGGGAGAACGCAAAUGUGUUCAGAUAUGCUGGACCACUUGGUGUAGCUGCAGAAAAAGCAACACCGAAACCACUGCAAGGAAAGAUGCUUAGCAGGCACCUGUGGCCGAACAAACAGAGUCUGUUCCCUCCCCAGGAGGCUGCUGCUGUGAUAAAGUGUCUCUUUAUCCAGGUCAGUACAAAAUUUAAUCCUCAUUGAUCUCUUCAUGACAGCCUUGAGGGGAAGGCGAUGGUUCCUGCUGCUUCUGCUCUCACAGGACACGACUCUCCAUCUUUAUGGUUGGGAUUAUAAAUGGAGCCAUCAAUCUGAGCAUGAACGCUUGGCAAAGCUCUCAGCGGUUACACACUUAGCAAGCUCUGAGAACUAGAAACAGUGUGAUGGAAACGCCAAAAAUGGCACUCCAUUUCCCCUUCAACGCUCUUGUCAUUGUAUUAGCCAAUUAAAAUGCAAUUCCUGGCUGAAAGCGUGGUGCUUGUCAUCACCUUUCAAAUUUUAAUCUAUUUCACAGAAAAUAUUCCUUAAAGUACCUUAAUGAAUUUCAUUAUAUGAAUUUUUUUUAGGUCAAGCUGUGCUGCAGAGGGAGAAAUAAUACUGCAUACCCUUCAGGCGAUGAGGACAAAAUCAUUGCCCAUGUUUUCAUUUUCUGAGGGCACUUUGCUCUAUUGUUUUGUUAUUAUUCGGGGUCAGAAAAAUUAUCCUUACUUACAAUUUAAGGCAACUUCUGUGUUUCUUUAGAAACAUCAGGAUGAAUUCAAAACUACUUAAAUGUAGUUUUCUAACUAGUUUCUAGUUUGUUCAAUUCAGCCAUCAAACAGUCAAAAGAGAUUAUAAUUUUUAAUUAAGGGGUCAUACAGUCUUCUGUUUAAAGAAUAACUUUGGUCAUAUGAACUUUAUAACUGUAACUGCUGAUUAGUAUUUCCUGGUUUAUUUAUUAAUGCUAUUAUAAAUGGUUACCC
Sus scrofa (pig) is the source of this 1360-nucleotide non-coding RNA. The record is from RefSeq and is a predicted model, not a curated record. Lineage: Eukaryota; Metazoa; Chordata; Mammalia; Artiodactyla; Suidae.